GGUUAAGCGACUAAGCGUACACGGUGGAUGCCCUGGCAGUCAGAGGCGAUGAAGGACGUGCUAAUCUGCGAUAAGCGUCGGUAAGGUGAUAUGAACCGUUAUAACCGGCGAUUUCCGAAUGGGGAAACCCAGUGUGAUUCGUCACACUAUCAUUAACUGAAUCCAUAGGUUAAUGAGGCGAACCGGGGGAACUGAAACAUCUAAGUACCCCGAGGAAAAGAAAUCAACCGAGAUUCCCCCAGUAGCGGCGAGCGAACGGGGAGCAGCCCAGAGCCUGAAUCAGUGUGUGUGUUAGUGGAAGCGUCUGGAAAGGCGCGCGAUACAGGGUGACAGCCCCGUACACAAAAAUGCACAUGCUGUGAGCUCGAUGAGUAGGGCGGGACACGUGGUAUCCUGUCUGAAUAUGGGGGGACCAUCCUCCAAGGCUAAAUACUCCUGACUGACCGAUAGUGAACCAGUACCGUGAGGGAAAGGCGAAAAGAACCCCGGCGAGGGGAGUGAAAAAGAACCUGAAACCGUGUACGUACAAGCAGUGGGAGCACGCUUAGGCGUGUGACUGCGUACCUUUUGUAUAAUGGGUCAGCGACUUAUAUUCUGUAGCAAGGUUAACCGAAUAGGGGAGCCGAAGGGAAACCGAGUCUUAACUGGGCGUUAAGUUGCAGGGUAUAGACCCGAAACCCGGUGAUCUAGCCAUGGGCAGGUUGAAGGUUGGGUAACACUAACUGGAGGACCGAACCGACUAAUGUUGAAAAAUUAGCGGAUGACUUGUGGCUGGGGGUGAAAGGCCAAUCAAACCGGGAGAUAGCUGGUUCUCCCCGAAAGCUAUUUAGGUAGCGCCUCGUGAAUUCAUCUCCGGGGGUAGAGCACUGUUUCGGCAAGGGGGUCAUCCCGACUUACCAACCCGAUGCAAACUGCGAAUACCGGAGAAUGUUAUCACGGGAGACACACGGCGGGUGCUAACGUCCGUCGUGAAGAGGGAAACAACCCAGACCGCCAGCUAAGGUCCCAAAGUCAUGGUUAAGUGGGAAACGAUGUGGGAAGGCCCAGACAGCCAGGAUGUUGGCUUAGAAGCAGCCAUCAUUUAAAGAAAGCGUAAUAGCUCACUGGUCGAGUCGGCCUGCGCGGAAGAUGUAACGGGGCUAAA
This 1144-nucleotide ribosomal RNA is filed under the name Escherichia coli. Its description in RNAcentral is "partial 23S ribosomal RNA". It matches the Rfam family "Bacterial large subunit ribosomal RNA", at positions 1 to 1185 of the family's 2925-position model. Lineage: Bacteria; Pseudomonadati; Pseudomonadota; Gammaproteobacteria; Enterobacterales; Enterobacteriaceae. The record is from RNAcentral.